Molecule: transfer-messenger RNA, 353 nt
Filed under: Lysobacteraceae
Lineage: Bacteria; Pseudomonadati; Pseudomonadota; Gammaproteobacteria; Lysobacterales
Also listed under: 1 other name
Description: Luteimonas_D excrementigallinarum Standard tmRNA
Rfam family: transfer-messenger RNA
About the family: Bacterial tmRNA, also known as 10Sa RNA or SsrA, is named for its dual tRNA and mRNA-like properties.
Source: RNAcentral
GGGGGUGCAUUGGCUUCGACGGGGGUUGCGAAAUCACCUGGUGCAUGCCGAGGGGGCAGCUUUCCUCGUAAAUCCAGCGGCAAACUUCUAGUUGCCAACGACGACAACUACGCUCUCGCCGCUUAAGGCGUAAGCCCCGAACCCACUUGUGCCUGUGCUCGUGGAUGUAGGGUCAUUAUCACAGGAACCAGCCGCGGAGGUUGCCUGUCUUCCGCGGUUGAAUCUACAGGCUGGUUUCCUGAUGCGCUUCGCGCGUCGUGCUGUCAGGGAACGAGACCCAACGGCGAGCUAAGCAUGUAGUACCGGGGAUGGAGUGCCUUCGGACGCGGGUUCGAUUCCCGCCACCUCCACCA